CAACCGCAAGAAGGACUCCGCCCGGGCUCCUAUGGGAGCUGGGCUCCGUCGUCAACUUCAACUGCUGGUAAGCUCCGUCCGGACUCCUAUGGGAGUCAGACUUCGCACCUGACUUUAAUUUCAGGAAGACUCCGCCCGGACUCCUACGGAAGCCGGGCUCCGUCGCCAACUUCAACUGCUGGUAAGCUCCGUCCGGACUCCUACGGGAGUCGGACUUCGCACC
Molecule: long non-coding RNA, 223 nt
Filed under: Elaeis guineensis (African oil palm)
Lineage: Eukaryota; Viridiplantae; Streptophyta; Magnoliopsida; Arecales; Arecaceae
Description: long non-coding RNA (EGUI_LNC073747)
Source: RNAcentral